UAAGCUAGUGUUAAAGUUAUAGGUGGUUGUG
RNAcentral lists this non-coding RNA (31 nucleotides) under Mus musculus (house mouse). Lineage: Eukaryota; Metazoa; Chordata; Mammalia; Rodentia; Muridae. The record is from RNAcentral.